CAGCAGCCGCGGUAAUACGUAUGUCGCAAGCGUUAUCCGGAUUUAUUGGGCGUAAAGCGCGUCUAGGCGGCGAGGAAAGUCUGAUGUGAAAAUGCGGGGCUCAACCCCGUAUUGCGUUGGAAACUGCCUUGCUAGAGUACUGGAGAGGUAGGCGGAACUACAAGUGUAGAGGUGAAAUUCGUAGAUAUUUGUAGGAAUGCCGAUGGGGAAGCCAGCCUACUGGACAGAUACUGACGCUAAAGCGCGAAAGCGUGGGUAGCAAACAGGAUUAGAUACCCUGGUAGUCCACGCCGUAAACGAUGAUUACUAGGUGUUGGGGGUCAAACCUCAGCGCCCAAGCUAACGCGAUAAGUAAUCCGCCUGGGGAGUACGUACGCAAGUAUGAAACUCAAAGGAAUUGACGGGGACCCGCACAAGCGGUGGAGCAUGUGGUUUAAUUCGACGCAACGCGAGGAACCUUACCAGCGUUUGACAUCCUACUAAGUGUGCAGAGAUGCGCAUGUGCCCUUUCGGGGGAAAGUAGUGACAGGUGGUGCAUGGCC
RNAcentral lists this ribosomal RNA (542 nucleotides) under uncultured archaeon. Its description in RNAcentral is "bacterial SSU rRNA". It matches the Rfam family "Bacterial small subunit ribosomal RNA", at positions 509 to 1050 of the family's 1533-position model. The record is from RNAcentral.